GAAACUGGGUAGCGCAGGGUAUUCCAACGAGCAAGUGGCUUUGGAAUAUUUGGAUGGCUAGAAGAGCCGGAAGGAGGUAAGUGAGUCAUGAUGAUCAAAUUUUGGUCUAGAAAGGCAGAAACAAAGACUGAUGCAGAUUCUGCAGUUAGUUACUGAGAAUAUAUCAUAUGAGAUAUACAUGCAUGCAUACGUAUAUACAUCUGAAGUUGUUUGGCUUUUUUACUACAGUAUAAAU
Molecule: long non-coding RNA, 235 nt
Organism: Andrographis paniculata
Lineage: Eukaryota; Viridiplantae; Streptophyta; Magnoliopsida; Lamiales; Acanthaceae
Exons: 3
Source: RefSeq, a predicted model, not a curated record